This 340-nucleotide ribosomal RNA is filed under the name uncultured bacterium. RNAcentral describes it as "bacterial SSU rRNA". It matches the Rfam family "Bacterial small subunit ribosomal RNA", at positions 330 to 687 of the family's 1533-position model. The record is from RNAcentral.
AAAACAACCCUACGGGAGGCAGCAGUGGGGAAUAUUGGACAAUGGGCGCAAGCCUGAUCCAGCCAUGCCGCGUGAGUGAUGAAGGCCUUAGGGUUGUAAAGCUCUUUCAGUGGGGACGAUAAUGACGGUACCCACAGAAGAAGCCCCGGCUAACUUCGUGCCAGCAGCCGCGGUAAUACGAAGGGGGCUAGCGUUGUUCGGAUUUACUGGGCGUAAAGCGCACGUAGGCGGAUCGUUAAGUCGGGGGUGAAAUCCUGGAGCUCAACUCCAGAACUGCCUUCGAUACUGGCGAUCUUGAGUCCGGAAGAGGUGAGUGGAACUCCUAGUGUAGAGGUGGAAU